GGAUGCGAUCAUACCAGCACUAAAGCACCGGAUCCCAUCAGAACUCCGAAGUUAAGCGUGCUUGGGCGAGAGUAGUACAAGGAUGUGUGACCUCCUGGGAAGUCCUCGUGUUGCAUUCC
This 119-nucleotide ribosomal RNA is filed under the name Triticum aestivum (bread wheat). The record is from RNAcentral. Lineage: Eukaryota; Viridiplantae; Streptophyta; Magnoliopsida; Poales; Poaceae.